This 267-nucleotide ribosomal RNA is filed under the name uncultured bacterium. RNAcentral describes it as "partial 16S ribosomal RNA". It matches the Rfam family "Bacterial small subunit ribosomal RNA", at positions 333 to 616 of the family's 1533-position model. The record is from RNAcentral.
UGGUACCUACGGGAGGCAGCAGUGGGGGAUAUUGCACAAUGGGGGGAACCCUGAUGCAGCGACGCCGCGUGGGUGAAGAAGUAAUUCGGUAUGUAAAUCCCUAUCGGCAGGGAAGAAAUUGGACGGUACCUGACUAAGAAGCCCCGGCUAACUACGUGCCAGCAGCCGCGGUAAUACGUAGGGGGCAAGCGUUAUCCGGAUUCACUGGGUGUAAAGGGAGCGUAGACGGCCAUGCAAGCCUUGAGUGAAAGCCCGGGUCCCAACCCC